AUCUGUUACCCAGGAGGAAGUGUAACUGAGAGAAGUGGAAUACAGAUCUAAGAGGAGUGAGAGAUUCAGGGAGGAGCUAAGAUGUUCCUGAACUAUAGAAGAGAGAGGAACUUCCAUAUUCACCAGAGUUCAACACAGACCAUCAUCAUCACCUUCAUUCAACAUGCUGUCAUUACAUCAUUGUUUCAUUUUGUUAUGUUUAGUGUCCGUUCUAAGAGGGGUCAGCUGUGAAGAUCUCACUGCAUUACAGAGAGAAGAGUUCAGUCCAGAAGGCAGCUCUAUUACUCUGUCCUACAGAUACUCCAAACAAGCAGCUGGUGGUGAUGAGUUCUACUGGUAUCGACAAUAUCCAGGAGAACCACCAGAGUUCAUCAUCUCUCAUUUAGGAACUGGAAACAUUAUGAAUAAUCUGAUCCCUGGACUGAAGAUUAAAGUGGAGUCAAACCAAAUCAAUCUGAGCAUCUCCUCUGCUGCAGUGACAGACUCAGCUGUGUACUACUGUGCUGUGAGGCCCACAGUGACAGGAAACACCACAAGGCUGUACAAAAACCUCUGCAGCUUCUCCCUGAACAUUCACACACUUCAGAUCCCGCCUUUUUCUGAACAACAUCGCCAUCAAGUGGACACCUCGAACAGUACAACUUCUUCUCUCAAAGUGACACACAUCCAACCUCUGAGGGAGACUCCAAAGAUGAAGAGCAGUCGGUCCGGCCUGUGCGUCCACCGGCUCCUGAAUGUGGAUGAACUGGUUAAACUGGUCCUGACUAACAUACGAUUCACUGCAGUGUGAGGUGGAACAGUUCAUGGUGAAGAACUAGCGUUAGAUUGUUGCAGUGGUGUAAUGUAACUAAGUACAUUUACUCAUACUGUACGGAAGUAAAACAUUGAGGUAAUUGUACUUUUAUACAAAUUCAUACUUUGACUUCAUUACAUUGUGUAGGCAAGUGUUGUACUUUUUACUUCACUACGUGUAUUUUACAGAUUGACUGACAGCAGAUUUAGGAUAUUAAUACACAAUAUAAAUCGACACACAUUAUAUUAUAGAUGAAGCUACCCAGUACUCUAUAAAGUCAUUCAAAUAAA
Molecule: non-coding RNA, 1083 nt
Organism: Gymnodraco acuticeps
Lineage: Eukaryota; Metazoa; Chordata; Actinopteri; Perciformes; Bathydraconidae
Source: the annotation of a RefSeq genome assembly